This 465-nucleotide ribosomal RNA is filed under the name uncultured bacterium. RNAcentral describes it as "partial 16S ribosomal RNA". It matches the Rfam family "Bacterial small subunit ribosomal RNA", at positions 339 to 795 of the family's 1533-position model. The record is from RNAcentral.
CUACGGGGCGCUGCAGUGAGGAAUUUUGCGCAAUGGGGGAAACCCUGACGCAGCAACGCCGCGUGAGUGAUGAAGGCCUUCGGGUCGUAAAGCUCUGUCAAGUGGGAAGAACCCACCCUGUGCUAAUAUCACAGGGUGCUGACGGUACCACUGAAGGAAGCACCGGCUAGCUCCGUGCCAGCAGCCGCGGUAAUACGGAGGGUGCAAGCGUUAUUCGGAAUUACUGGGCGUAAAGGGCGCGUAGGCGGCCUUUUAAGUCAGAUGUGAAAUCCCGGGGCUCAACCCCGGAAGUGCAUCUGAAACUAAGAGGCUUGAGUAUGGGAGAGGGAAGUGGAAGUCCUGGUGUAGAGGUGAAAUUCGUAGAUAUCAGGAGGAACACCGGUGGCGAAGGCGACUUCCUGGACCAAUACUGACGCUGAGGCGCGAAGGCGUGGGGAGCAAACAGGAUUAGAUACCCCAGUAGUC